This 253-nucleotide ribosomal RNA is filed under the name uncultured bacterium. RNAcentral describes it as "partial 16S ribosomal RNA". It matches the Rfam family "Bacterial small subunit ribosomal RNA", at positions 524 to 776 of the family's 1533-position model. The record is from RNAcentral.
UACGUAGGGGGCAAGCGUUGUCCGGAUUUAUUGGGCGUAAAGAGCGUGUAGGCGGUUUGGUAGGUCCGCUGUGAAAACUCGAGGCUCAACCUCGAGACGCCGGUGGAAACCAUCAGACUAGAGUCCGGAAGAGGAGAGUGGAAUUCCUGGUGUAGCGGUGAAAUGCGCAGAUAUCAGGAGGAACACCAAUUGCGAAGGCAGCUCGCUGGGACGUUACUGACGCUGAGACGCGAAAGCGUGGGGAGCAAACAGG